This 583-nucleotide ribosomal RNA is filed under the name uncultured bacterium. RNAcentral describes it as "bacterial SSU rRNA". It matches the Rfam family "Bacterial small subunit ribosomal RNA", at positions 338 to 911 of the family's 1533-position model. The record is from RNAcentral.
CCUACGGGAGGCAGCAGUAGGGAAUCUUCCGCAAUGGACGAAAGUCUGACGGAGUAACGCCGCGUGAGUGAUGAAGGCUUUCGGGUCGUAAAACUCUGUUGUUAGGGAAGAACAAGUGCUAGUUGAAUAAGCUGGCACCUUGACGGUACCUAACCAGAAAGCCACGGCUAACUACGUGCCAGCAGCCGCGGUAAUACGUGGGUGGCAAGCGUUAUCCGGAAUUAUUGGGCGUAAAGCGCGCGCAGGUGGUUUCUUAAGUCUGAUGUGAAAGCCCACGGCUCAACCGUGGAGGGUCAUUGGAAACUGGGAGACUUGAGUGCAGAAGAGGAAAGUGGAAUUCCAUGUGUAGCGGUGAAAUGCGUAGAGAUAUGGAGGAACACCAGUGGCGAAGGCGACUUUCUGGUCUGUAACUGACACUGAGGCGCGAAAGCGUGGGGAGCAAACAGGAUUAGAUACCCUGGUAGUCCACGCCGUAAACGAUGAGUGCUAAGUGUUAGAGGGUUUCCGCCCUUUAGUGCUGAAGUUAACGCAUUAAGCACUCCGCCUGGGGAGUACGGCCGCAAGGCUGAAACUCAAAGGAAUU